UCCCCAGCGGCAGUGUAUGUCCUUAGGAGAGGAGACAGUUGGUCCCUCUCCCCAGCAGUCCAGUGAGUCCCAGGGAGCUGAAGGUGCCGUCCUUCCUCCCCAGCGGCAGUGUGUGUCCUUAGGAGAGGAGACAGCUGGUCUCUCUCCCCAGCAGUCCAGUGAAUUACAAGGAGACAAAGGUGCCGUCCUUCCUCCCCAGCGGCAGUGUGAGUUCUUGGGAGAGGAGACAGUCGGUCCCUCUCCCCAGCAGUCAAGCGUGUCCCAGGGAGCCGAAGGUGCCGUCCUUCCUCCCCAGCAGCAGUGUGUCCGGCAGGGAGCAGAGACAGU
Molecule: non-coding RNA, 327 nt
Organism: Pelobates cultripes (western spadefoot toad)
Lineage: Eukaryota; Metazoa; Chordata; Amphibia; Anura; Pelobatidae
Source: the annotation of a GenBank genome assembly